UACGGAGGGUGCAAGCGUUGUUCGGAAUCAUUGGGCGUAAAGCGCGUGUAGGCGGCUUGGCAAGUCCGUUGUGAAAGCCCGGGGCCCAACCCCGGAAGUGCAUCUGAAACUGCCUAGCUAGAGUCCCGGAGAGGAAGGCAGAAUUCCCGGUGUAGGGGUGAAAUCCGUAGAUAUCGGGAGGAAUACCAGCGGCGAAGGCGGCCUUCUGGACGGUGACUGACGCUGAGACGCGAAAGCGUGGGGAGCAAACAGG
RNAcentral lists this ribosomal RNA (253 nucleotides) under uncultured bacterium. Its description in RNAcentral is "partial 16S ribosomal RNA". It matches the Rfam family "Bacterial small subunit ribosomal RNA", at positions 524 to 776 of the family's 1533-position model. The record is from RNAcentral.